RNAcentral lists this ribosomal RNA (468 nucleotides) under uncultured bacterium. RNAcentral's name for it is "partial 16S ribosomal RNA". It matches the Rfam family "Bacterial small subunit ribosomal RNA", at positions 28 to 507 of the family's 1533-position model. The record is from RNAcentral.
GACGAACGCUGGCGGCGUGCUUAACACAUGCAAGUCGAACGGAAAGGCCCUGCUUUUGUGGGGUGCUCGAGUGGCGAACGGGGGAGUAACACGUGAGUAACCUGCCCUUGACUUUGGGAUAACUUCAGGAAACUGGGGCUAAUACCGGAUAGGAGCUCCUGCUGCAUGGUGGGGGUUGGAAAGUUUCGGCGGUUGGGGAUGGACUCGCGGCUUAUCAGCUUGUUGGUGUGGUAGUGGAUUACCAAGGCUUUGACGGGUAGCCGGCCUGAGAGGGUGACCGGCCACGUUGGGACUGGGCUACGGCCCCGCCUCCUCCGGGAGGCAGCGGUGGGGAAUAUUGCACUAUGGGCGGAAGCCUGAUGCAGCAACGCCGCGCGCGGGAUGACGUCCUUCGGGUUGUAAACCGAUUUCGCCUGUGACGAAGCGUUAGUGACGGUAAUGGGUAAAGAAGCACCGGCUAACUACGUG